AGUGAACGCUGGCGGUAGGCCUAACACAUGCAAGUCGAACGGCAGCACAGUAAGAGCUUGCUCUUACGGGUGGCGAGUGGCGGACGGGUGAGGAAUACAUCGGAAUCUACUUUUUCGUGGGGGAUAACGUAGGGAAACUUACGCUAAUACCGCAUACGACCUACGGGUGAAAGCAGGGGAUCUUCGGACCUUGCGCGAUUGAAUGAGCCGAUGUCGAAUUAGCUAGUUGGCGGGGUAAAGGCCCACCAAGGCGACGAUCCGUAGCUGGUCUGAGAGGAUGAUCAGCCACACUGGAACUGAGACUCGGUCCAGACUCCUACGGGAGGCAGCAGUGGGGAAUAUUGGACAAUGGGCGCAAGCCUGAUCCAGCCAUACCGCGUGGGUGAAGAAGGCCUUCGGGUUGUAAAGCCCUUUUGUUGGGAAAGAAAAGCAGCAGGUUAAUACCCCGCUGUUCUGACGGUACCCAAAGAAUAAGCACCGGCUAACUUCGUG
Molecule: ribosomal RNA, 492 nt
Filed under: uncultured bacterium
Lineage: Bacteria
Description: partial 16S ribosomal RNA
Rfam family: Bacterial small subunit ribosomal RNA
Source: RNAcentral